AUUGAACGCUGGCGGCAUGCUUUACACAUGCAAGUCGAACGGUAACAGGGAGCUUGCUCCGCUGACGAGUGGCGAACGGGUGAGUAAUGCAUCGGAACAUGCCCAGUCAUGGGGGAUAACUACGCGAAAGCGUAGCUAAUACCGCAUACGCCCUGAGGGGGAAAGUGGGGGGUCGUUAGGACCUCACGUGAUUGGAGUGGCCGAUGUCAGAUUAGCUAGUUGGUGAGGUAAAGGCUCACCAAGGCGACGAUCUGUAGCGGGUCUGAGAGGAUGAUCCGCCACACUGGGACUGAGACACGGCCCAGACUCCUACGGGAGGCAGCAGUGGGGAAUUUUGGACAAUGGGCGCAAGCCUGAUCCAGCCAUGCCGCGUGAGUGAAGAAGGCCUCGGUUGUAAGACUCUUUCGUCAAGGGAAGAAAACGGACGAAGGUUAAUAACC
RNAcentral lists this ribosomal RNA (440 nucleotides) under uncultured bacterium. Its description in RNAcentral is "bacterial SSU rRNA". It matches the Rfam family "Bacterial small subunit ribosomal RNA", at positions 30 to 467 of the family's 1533-position model. The record is from RNAcentral.